UAACAACUAUCAGCGUCUUUCAUUUUCAAUAAUAAUUGAGUUGUAAAUAGCACAACGGGGGCACAGAAGUCAGGAUAGGCAUCACAACCACAGAUUGUCUGCUCUAUGAUUCCAAAGAGACACCAAAGAAACAAGCUUUAAUUGCUACACUAAACUAGGACCAAGGCACAGGCUCUAACACCAGCAAUAAAUUCUUAAGUGUUUUUCAGACCAUGGUGAUUCA
Molecule: unclassified non-coding RNA, 223 nt
Filed under: Hevea brasiliensis (rubber tree)
Lineage: Eukaryota; Viridiplantae; Streptophyta; Magnoliopsida; Malpighiales; Euphorbiaceae
Source: RNAcentral